Molecule: ribosomal RNA, 417 nt
Filed under: uncultured eukaryote
Lineage: Eukaryota
Description: bacterial SSU rRNA
Rfam family: Eukaryotic small subunit ribosomal RNA
Source: RNAcentral
CAAUAGCAUAUAUUAAAGUUGUUGCAGUUAAAAGCUCGUAGUUGGAUUUCGGGUCGACGCGUGAGGUCUGCCGCAAGGUAUGUACUUUGCCGUCGUCCUUCUUCCCGGCGGCCCGUCCUGCUCUUCUAUUGCAUGCUGGACGUGGGGACCUCGGGACGUUUACUGUGAAAAAUUAGAGUGUUCAAAGCAGGCAGCCGCUUGAAUACAUUAGCAUGGAAUAAUGGAAGAGGACUUGGGUCCUAUUUUGUUGGUUUCCUGGACCGAAGUAAUGAUCAAUAGGGACAGUUGGGGCAGUUCGUAUUCUAUUGUCAGAGGUGAAAUUCUUGGAUUUACGAAAGACGAACAACUGCGAAAGCACUUGCCAAGAGUGUUUUCAUUAAUCAAGAACGAAAGUUAGAGGAUCGAAGACGAUCAGAU